AUGCGGUGGCCGGAGUUGUCGUCUCUGGGCAUUGUGGCUGAUGUUGUUGAGGUUUGGCGCAGGGACGUUUAUGGAUUCGCGGUGCGGCCGCAGCAUCUGCAGCGUUUCCGCGAGUAUGCCAAGAUUUACAAGGAAGAGGAAGAUGAGAGAACACAUCGAUGGAAGGACUUCUUGGACAGAUUGGCUGAUUCUGCGGAUUUGCCCAGCACACCCAGCAUUCAUGCCGCUGCUGCGGGGGAUGCUGAAAGUGCAGAAAAGAGCGUCAAAGAAGAGCACCAUGAAGCCGAAAACACAGAUACCGACACAAAUUUGGAAUAUUUGAAGGAAGCUGACGGCAAUGAGGAACUCGGAGAAGUAAACGGCGAGCCAGACGAUAUUAAGGGUGUCACUAGCAACUUGGAAAAACCAAAAGAGGACAGCAGUAGCAGGGGAGCAGAUUGCGAUGAAGACGACGAAGAAGAAGGUGAAGCAGAAGAGAGGAACAUCAAAAUAGAAUGCGUAGAUCAAGUUGAUGACAAUGAUGAAUCCAUAGAAGCAAAAGGCAAGCCAGAGGAUUUUGACGAUGUCGCUGGCAACUCAGAAAAACUGAAAGAGGAGACCAGUGCAGACUAUGUAACACCGAACAAAGCCUCGGAAGAAUUCAAGGAAAUAAAUGAGGGCUCUGAAGAAAUAAAAGUUAUAAAUGGGGGCUCGGAAGGAUUUAAAGAUCAAAAUGGUGGGUCGAAGGAACUGGGAGAAGUGAAUAAUGACAACUUCAAAAGGUUUGAGGAGACCCCCUUCGAUAAGGGGUUGUUGGAUGAAUUGGAGCCCAUAAAAGUCGAGUCCUGGCGGCGGGUGAGGGCAUCACUCAGCAUCAUUGAGAAAAUGAUGAGCUCUCGGGUCGUGAAAAGAAAUGAUACUGCAAAUGCCAUAUCUGGAGAGGUUGCGACACAGCUUGCGUCAAUUGAAGAAGACAGGGCAGUAGAAGAAACUCAUGAAGGGAAUUCAGCAGAGGAGUCAUAUGAUGCAGAGAAGGUGGAUCGGUCACAGGACGGGGCACCUGGUGAUUCAACGAGUGUUACAUUGGAGGGAGACAAUGGAGGGUCUUAUUUUCCUUGGAGGGAGGAACUGGAGAGCUUGGUUCGUGGAGGUGUGCCAAUCGCUCUUAGAGGAGAGAUGUGGCAAGCAUUUGUGGGUGUUGGUGCUCGGAAAAUCACUGGGUAUUACAACAAAUUGCUAGAUGAAAGGACAGAUGUAUUGGAUGAAAAGGACCUUAAGGACCAAGUGGUGAAUGAACAGAAAAGUUCACCAAAAAAGGAUCCCAAGCCUGAGAAGUGGAAAGGACAGAUAGAGAAGGAUUUGCCUCGAACAUUUCCAGGACACCCUGCAUUAGAUGAGGACGGGAGAAAUGCCUUGAGGCGGUUAUUAACAGCAUACGCAAGGCAUAAUCCAUCUGUCGGAUACUGCCAGGCCAUGAACUUUUUUGCCGGGCUAUUUUUAUUGUUCAUGCCUGAAGAGAAUGCAUUCUGGGCUCUGGUGGGGGUCAUUGACGAGUACUUUGAGGGUUACUACACUGAGGAAAUGAUUGAAUCACAGGUUGACCAACUUGUUCUUGAGGACGUUGUACGAGAAAGGUUCCCAAAAUUGGCCAAACAUACGGAUAUCUUGGGAGUUCAGGUGACAUGGGUGACUGGACCAUGGUUUCUUUCAAUUUUCAUCAACAUGCUUCCAUGGGAAAGUGUUCUUCGUGUUUGGGAUGUGAUCCUCUUUGAAGGAAAUCGUACAAUGUUGUUCCGGACAACCCUUGCUUUGCUGGACUUAUAUGGGCCUGCCUUGGUGACCACAAAGGAUGCUGGAGAUGCAAUUACGUUACUGCAGUCUCUUGCUGGCUCUACCUUUGACAGCAGCCAACUUGUAUUGACAGCUUGUAUGGGUUUUCAGUCAGUCAAAGAAAUGGGAUUGCGAGAGCUAAGAGAAAAGCACAGGCCUGAGAUUAUAGCGGCUAUGGAGGAAAGAUCAAAAGACCGUAAAUCCUGGAAAGAUAAGAAGGGGUUAGCAACUAAAUUAUAUAGCUUUAAACAUGACCCCUCAUCUGUGUGUCCACAAGUUGAUUCCAAGGAAGGGGCAGAUGGUUUGCAAGUGAAUGGGGACUCUGGGUCAACAACCCUGGGGAGCUACCUUACUGGUUCAGCAUUAGAAAAUGAGUUGGAUGAGGGCAUUGAUCUUCAAGAUCAGGUAAAAUGGCUAAAGGUUGAGCUGUGCAAACUGCUUGAGGAGAAAAGAUCAGCUGAACUCAGGGCCGAGGAGUUAGAAACUGCUUUAAUGGAGAUGGUCACGCAGGACAAUAGACGUACGCUGAGUGCUAUGGUUGAGAAAUUGGAGGCAGAGGUAUCUGAAUUCCGAGAAACUUUCGAAGAUAAGCAAGAACAAGAAAAGGCAAUGCUUGAGAUUUUGUUAAGAAUGGAGCAGGAGCAGAAAGUGACAGAAGAUGCACGCAUAGCUGCUGAGCGAGAUGCUGCUGAACAAAAAUACGCUGCUCAUUUGAUCCAGGAGAAGUAUGAAGCAGUCUUGAUAGCGCUUUCACAAAUGGAGAAGAGAGCUGUGAUGGCAGAAACUAUGUUGGAAGCUACAAAGCAGUACCAGGCUGGGCAGGUUAAAGCCAUCCAAACGUUCGCCCCAAAGUCACCGCAUGCAGACCUUGGGAAGAUAAAUCAAGAACCAAAUCAAGAUACACCUAACAAGAAAGUGGGCUUACUUUCUAGGGGGCUUGGAUGGCUAGAGAAGAGCAAGGGAAAGUCGAAUCCCACUGAAACGAAUGAAGGCUAA
This 2805-nucleotide ribosomal RNA is filed under the name Triticum aestivum (bread wheat). RNAcentral's name for it is "partial small subunit ribosomal RNA". Lineage: Eukaryota; Viridiplantae; Streptophyta; Magnoliopsida; Poales; Poaceae. The record is from RNAcentral.